CAGCCGCCGCGGUAAAACGGAGGGGGCUAGCGUUGUUCGGAAUUACUGGGCGUAAAGCGCACGUAGGCGGCUUGGUAAGUUAGAGGUGAAAGCCCGGAGCUCAACUCCGGAAUUGCCUUUAAGACUGCCGAGCUAGUAGGUGAGAGAGGUAAGUGGAAUUCCGAGUGUAGAGGUGAAAUUCGUAGAUAUUCGGAAGAACACCAGUGGCAAAGGCGGCUUACUGGCUCAUUCUAGACGCUGAGGUGCGAAAGCGUGGGGAGCAAACAGGAUUAGAUACCCCCGUAGUCCCUGUCUCUUAUAC
RNAcentral lists this ribosomal RNA (301 nucleotides) under uncultured bacterium. Its description in RNAcentral is "partial 16S ribosomal RNA". It matches the Rfam family "Bacterial small subunit ribosomal RNA", at positions 509 to 807 of the family's 1533-position model. The record is from RNAcentral.